This 407-nucleotide ribosomal RNA is filed under the name uncultured bacterium. RNAcentral's name for it is "partial 16S ribosomal RNA". It matches the Rfam family "Bacterial small subunit ribosomal RNA", at positions 28 to 526 of the family's 1533-position model. The record is from RNAcentral.
GACGAACGCUGGCGGCGUGCCUAAUACAUGCAAGUAGAACGCAGUUGCGAACGGGUGAGUAACGCGUAGGUAACUGCCUCUUAGCGGGGGAUAACUAUUGGAAACGAUAGCUAAUACCGCAUACUGUGAGAUGGACCUCCCUUGUAUUAGCCAGGUGGUGAGGUAAAGGCUCACCAAGGCGAAGAUACAUAGCCGACCGGGGAGGGUGAUCGGCCACCGUGGGACGUAGACACGGCAGAGACACCUACGGGAGGCAGCAGUAAGGAAUCUUAGGCAAGGGACGGAAUGCUGACCGGGCAACGCCGCGUGAGUGAAGAAGGUGUUCGGAUCCGAAAGCUCUGUUGUUAGAAAAACGGUAACGAAUCAGAAAGGGACGGCUAACUACGUGCCAGCAGCCGCGGUAAUAC